ACUCCUACGGGAGGCAGCAGUGGGGAAUUUUGGACAAUGGGCGAAAGCCUGAUCCAGCAAUGCCGCGUGUGUGAAGAAGGCCUUCGGGUUGUAAAGCACUUUUGUCCGGAAAGAAAUCCUUGGCUCUAAUACAGUCGAGGGAUGACGGUACCGGAAGAAUAAGCACCGGCUAACUACGUGCCAGCAGCCGCGGUAAUACGUAGGGUGCGAGCGUUAAUCGGAAUUACUGGGCGUAAAGCGUGCGCAGGCGGUUUGCUAAGACCGAUGUGAAAUCCCCGGGCUCAACCUGGGAACUGCAUUGGUGACUGGCAGGCUAGGGUAUGGCAGAGGGGGGUAGAAUUCCACGUGUAGCAGUGAAAUGCGUAGAGAUGUGGAGGAAUACCGAUGGCGAAGGCAGCCCCCUGGGCCAAUACUGACGCUCAUGCACGAAAGCGUGGGGAGCAAACAGGAUUAGAAACCCUAGUAGUCCC
This 470-nucleotide ribosomal RNA is filed under the name uncultured organism. Its description in RNAcentral is "partial 16S ribosomal RNA". It matches the Rfam family "Bacterial small subunit ribosomal RNA", at positions 335 to 797 of the family's 1533-position model. The record is from RNAcentral.